This 467-nucleotide ribosomal RNA is filed under the name uncultured bacterium. RNAcentral's name for it is "bacterial SSU rRNA". It matches the Rfam family "Bacterial small subunit ribosomal RNA", at positions 8 to 509 of the family's 1533-position model. The record is from RNAcentral.
AGAGUUUGAUCCUGGCUCAGAACGAACGCUGGCGGCACGCUUAACACAUGCAAGUCGAACGAGAUUACGGGUUCGCUCGUAAUUUAGUGGCGCACGGGUGAGGAACGCGUGACUACCUGCCUGUUGAUGGUGGAUAACUCCGGGAAACUGGAGCUAAUACAGCAUGAGCUCGAGAGAGGAAAGACGAAAGUCGUCGACAGAAGGGGUUGCGUCUGAUUAGGUAGUUGGUGGGGUAAAGGCCUACCAAGCCGAUGAUCAGUAGCUGGUCUGAGAGGAUGGUCAGCCACACUGGAACUGAGACACGGUCCAGACUCCUACGGGAGGCAGCAGUGGGGAAUAUUGGACAAUGGGCGAAAGCCUGAUCCAGCGAUGCCGCGUGAGUGAUGAAGGCCUUAGGGUUGUAAAGCUCUUUUGACAGGGACGAUGAUGACGGUACCUGUAGAAUAAGCACCGGCUAACUCUGUGCC